Molecule: small nucleolar RNA, 62 nt
Filed under: Euglena gracilis
Lineage: Eukaryota; Euglenozoa; Euglenophyceae; Euglenales; Euglenaceae
Description: Eg-m150 box C/D methylation-guide
Source: RNAcentral
UGGAUGAUGAGCUUUCUUUGACCUGGUAACAUUCUGACAUUUUGAUGAGGUUUAUUUCCUGA